Molecule: ribosomal RNA, 484 nt
Filed under: uncultured bacterium
Lineage: Bacteria
Description: partial 16S ribosomal RNA
Rfam family: Bacterial small subunit ribosomal RNA
Source: RNAcentral
AUUGAACGCUGGCGGCAUGCUUUACACAUGCAAGUCGAACGGCAGCACGGGGGCAUCCCUGGUGGCGUGUGGCGAACGGGUGAGUAAUACAUCCGAACGUGCCCUGUCGUUGGGGCUAACGUAACGUCAGUUACGCUAAUACCACAUCCGAUCUGAGUAUGAACCCGGUGGUCCAUCGGUGCUCGCGCGACCUGCUCUCCCUAUGUCAGAUUAGGUAGUUGGUUGGGUAAAGGCCUACCAAGGCGACGAUCUGUAGCUGGUCUGAGAGGCCGACCUGCCACACUGGGACUGAGACACGGCCCAGACUCCUACGGGAGGCAGCAGUGGGGAAUUUUGGACAAUGGGCGCAAGCCUGAUGGAGCCAUUCCGCGUGAAGGACGAAGGCCUUCGGGUUGUAAACUGCUUUUGUACGGAACGAAAAGGCUCUGGCGAAUACCUGGGGCUCAUGACGGUACCGUAAGAAUAAGCACCGGCUAACUACGUG